Molecule: ribosomal RNA, 471 nt
Filed under: uncultured bacterium
Lineage: Bacteria
Description: partial 16S ribosomal RNA
Rfam family: Bacterial small subunit ribosomal RNA
Source: RNAcentral
GACGAACGCUGGCGGCGUGCUUAACACAUGCAAGUCGAACGAUGAAGCCUAGCUUGCUAGGUGGAUUAGUGGCGAACGGGUGAGUAAUACGUGAGUGACCUACCUUUGACUCUGGGAUAAGCCUGGGAAACUGGGUCUAAUACCGGAUGCGACCAAUCUCCGCAUGGGGUGUUGGUGGAAAGCGUUAUGGAGUGGUUUUAGAUGGGCUCACGGCCUAUCAGCUUGUUGGUGAGGUAAUGGCUUACCAAGGCGACGACGGGUAGCCGGCCUGAGAGGGUGACCGGCCACACUGGGACUGAGACACGGCCCAGACUCCUACGGGAGGCAGCAGUGGGGAAUAUUGCACAAUGGGCGCAAGCCUGAUGCAGCGACGCCGCGUGAGGGAUGACGGCCUUCGGGUUGUAAACCUCUGUUAGCAUCGAAGAAGCGAAAGUGACGGUAGGUGCAGAGAAAGCGCCGGCUAACUACGUG